CAAAAGUUUGGUCCUAGCUUUAUUAUCAAAUGUUUCUUAACUUACACAUGCAAGUCUCAGCACACCAGUGAGAACGCCCUUAACUUCUUUUCUAGAUAAAGGAGCUGAUAUCAGGCACAGAACACUUGCCCAUAACAUCUAGUCUCACCACGCCCCUAAGGGAAUUCAGCAGUGAUAAAUAUUGCCAAUAAGCGACAGCUUGAACCAGUUAAAGAAAAGAGAGCCGGCCAACCCGGUGCCAGCCGCCGCGGCUACACCGUCGGGCUCAAGUUGAUAAUCAUCGGCGUUAAGCGUGAUUAAAAUUUUAUAUAAUUAGAGUUAAACUUAUGCUCAGUCGUGAAAAGCUUGUUAUAAAGAAGAUCAAAAACGAAAGUUACUCUAACUAUUUGAAUUCACGACAGCUGGGAGCACAAACUGGGAUCAGAUACCCCACUAUGCCCAGCCGUAAAAAAUUUAUUUACAUCAAUAAGCGCCAGGGUAUUACGAGCGCAAGCUUAAAAUCCAAAGGAUUUGACGGUGUCCCACCCACCUAGAGGAGCCUGUUCUAUAAUCGAUGAUCCUCGAUUUACCCUACCAUUUCUUGCUUUCAGCCUGUAUACCUCCGUCGCAAGCUUACCAUCUGAAUGAAAAAAGUAAGUUUAAAGGUCUUCCACCAAUACGUCAGGUCAAGGUGCAGCUAAUGAAAUGGAAAGCAAUGGGCUACAAUUUCUAUAAUAGAACAAACGAAACACUACAUGAAAAAUAGUCAUGAAGGCGGAUUUAGUAGUAAAGGAGGAAUAGCGCGCUUCCUUUAACAAGGCUCUGGGACGUGUACAAACCGCCCGUCACCCUCUUCAAUUUUUCCUUUUUUGAUUAAUAACAUCCUUUAAUAUUUUAGAAGAGGCAAGUCGUAACAUGGUAAGUGUACUGGAAAGUGCACUUGGAAAAU
Molecule: ribosomal RNA, 928 nt
Filed under: Blommersia blommersae (Ambrana Madagascar frog)
Lineage: Eukaryota; Metazoa; Chordata; Amphibia; Anura; Mantellidae
Description: 12S rRNA
Rfam family: Bacterial small subunit ribosomal RNA
Source: RNAcentral